This 932-nucleotide ribosomal RNA is filed under the name Mycobacterium gordonae. RNAcentral describes it as "bacterial SSU rRNA". It matches the Rfam family "Bacterial small subunit ribosomal RNA", at positions 74 to 1009 of the family's 1533-position model. The record is from RNAcentral. Lineage: Bacteria; Bacillati; Actinomycetota; Actinomycetes; Mycobacteriales; Mycobacteriaceae.
GGCCCGUUCGGGGUACACGAGUGGCGAACGGGUGAGUAACACGUGGGUAAUCUGCCCUGCACAUCGGGAUAAGCCUGGGAAACUGGGUCUAAUACCGAAUAGGACCACAGAACACAUGUCCUGUGGUGGAAAGCUUUUGCGGUGUGGGAUGGGCCCGCGGCCUAUCAGCUUGUUGGUGGGGUGAUGGCCUACCAAGGCGACGACGGGUAGCCGGCCUGAGAGGGUGUCCGGCCACACUGGGACUGAGAUACGGCCCAGACUCCUACGGGAGGCAGCAGUGGGGAAUAUUGCACAAUGGGCGAAAGCCUGAUGCAGCGACGCCGCGUGGGGGAUGACGGCCUUCGGGUUGUAAACCUCUUUCACCAUCGACGAAGGUCCGGGUUUUCUCGGGCUGACGGUAGGUGGAGAAGAAGCACCGGCCAACUACGUGCCAGCAGCCGCGGUAAUACGUAGGGUGCGAGCGUUGUCCGGAAUUACUGGGCGUAAAGAGCUCGUAGGUGGUUUGUCGCGUUGUUCGUGAAAUCUCACGGCUUAACUGUGAGCGUGCGGGCGAUACGGGCAGACUUGAGUACUGCAGGGGAGACUGGAAUUCCUGGUGUAGCGGUGGAAUGCGCAGAUAUCAGGAGGAACACCGGUGGCGAAGGCGGGUCUCUGGGCAGUAACUGACGCUGAGGAGCGAAAGCGUGGGGAGCGAACAGGAUUAGAUACCCUGGUAGUCCACGCCGUAAACGGUGGGUACUAGGUGUGGGUUUCCUUCCUUGGGAUCCGUGCCGUAGCUAACGCAUUAAGUACCCCGCCUGGGGAGUACGGCCGCAAGGCUAAAACUCAAGAAAUUGACGGGGGCCCGCACAAGCGGCGGAGCAUGUGGAUUAUUCGAUGCAACGCGAAGACCUUACCUGGGUUUGACAUGCACAGGACGCCGGCAGAAAUGU